AAGCCAUGGUGAAGGCACCUUUUCCAUAAAUCCUUGAAUCUCUCCCAUGCAUCAUAAAGUGUUUCUAAAUCCAUCUGUACAAAAGAAGAGAUAUCAUUCCUUAACUU
This 107-nucleotide small nucleolar RNA is filed under the name Gossypium hirsutum (cotton). Its description in RNAcentral is "Plant small nucleolar RNA R71". It matches the Rfam family "Plant small nucleolar RNA R71". From Rfam's summary of the family: R71 is a member of the C/D box family of snoRNAs containing the C (UGAUGA) and D (CUGA) box motifs. Multiple nearly identical copies of this snoRNA have been identified in Arabidopsis, and it is thought to function as a 2'-O-ribose methylation guide for 18S ribosomal RNA. Lineage: Eukaryota; Viridiplantae; Streptophyta; Magnoliopsida; Malvales; Malvaceae. The record is from Rfam by way of RNAcentral.